RNAcentral lists this ribosomal RNA (1083 nucleotides) under uncultured Rhizaria. Its description in RNAcentral is "bacterial SSU rRNA". It matches the Rfam family "Eukaryotic small subunit ribosomal RNA", at positions 577 to 1674 of the family's 1831-position model. The record is from RNAcentral.
CGGUAAUUCCAGCUCCAAUAGCGUAUACUAAAGUUGUUGCAGUUAAAAAGUUCGUAGUUGGAUUUCUGCCGGGACGGAGCGGCCGGACCCAACUUGCAUCUCGAGCUAGGGCUUUCCCCGCAUCCUGCCGAGAACCGCGCUACCAUUAUGUUGGUGGCGCUGGCCAUCGGUUCGAUUACUUUGAGAAAAAAAGAGUGCUCAAAGCAUGCCACACGCCUUGAAUAAGUUAGCAUGAAAUAAUGACUAACGACUUCCGAUCUAUUUUGUUGGCGUACGGGACUGAAAGAAUGAUAGAUAGGGACAGUUGGGGCGGUCUGUAUUCCAAAGAGAGAGGAGAAAUUCUUAUACCUUCGAAAGACAAACGGCUGCGAAAGCGUUCCGCAAGGAUGUUCCCUUUGAUCAAGAACGAAAGUUGAGGGAUCAAAAACGAACACAUACCGACGCAGACUCAACUAUAAACUAUACCAGCUAGGGAUCGGUCAACGUUUAAUUAUUCCACUCUGAUCGGCACCUUAUGAGAAAUCAAAGCAUCUGGGUUCCGGAGAGAGUAUGGUCGCACGGCUGAAACUUAAAGGAAUUGACGGAAGGGCACCACCACACGUGGAGCCUGUGGGUUAAUUUCACUCUCCACGCGAAAACUUACCACAUCCACACAUAGUAAGGAGAGACAGAGUGAUACAUCUCUCUUGAUUCUGUGGGUGGUGGUGCAUGACCGUUCUUAGUUGGUGGAGUGAUUUGUCUGGUUAAUUCCGUUAACGACCGAGACGCCAGCCUGCUAAAUAGCGCGGUUGAGCUUUUCUCGGUGCGAGCUUCUUAGAGGGGAUAUGAUGCGCGAUAGCACAUGGAAGUGUGGGGCAAUCACUAGCUCUGUGAUGACCUUAGAUGUUCUGGGCCGCACACGGGCUACACUGGCGCAUGCAUCGAGCAUAUCAGCUGGUCCGAGAGGAUGUAGGGUAAUCUUUUGAAACGGCCCCGUGCAUGGGAAUGGCCUUUGCAAUUGUUGGUCAUGCAACGAGGAAUUCCUAGUAAACGUGAGUCAUCAGCUCGCAUCGAAUACGUCCCUGCCCUUUGUACACACCGCCC